CCUCCCUCCGUCGCAGCCGCCAGACGCCGCCGCUGCCCCUCCCUCCGUCACAGCCGACAGCCAAGGGACAACAAGCUGCGAGAACCUCUAUGACAGUUGCAGUGUAAAGUCUGCCGUCCAAAGGGUUUUGGGGGCCUUGGCAUUGCUGAUCUUGCCACCCAAGGACGUACCCUUUUCUUUGGCUCCGCUGGCUGUGGUUGGCAUGGGUGGACGAGACCAAGCCUUGGCAGGGACUGGUGACUCCAUCUGACCAGGAGACGGCGGCAAUAUUCAGAGCAGUAAACCGCCUUACGGUUGGAGAUGGUAUGAAGAUUUCGCCAGUUUUGGUGCACAAGAGUCCCAAAUUUGUAUAAUUGUUGUAAUUUUGCGUUGAUACAAUAGUGAGUAGGUGAUGUAGCUAACAGACUUUGGAGGCUUCAGAUGUAUGUAAAGCUGGUAAAGUUUUCGUGUUGAUGAAUUGAAAACUUUUGAAAUUUUCAUU
Long non-coding RNA from Lolium rigidum, 481 nucleotides. RefSeq lists it as uncharacterized. NCBI's taxonomy places the organism in Eukaryota, Viridiplantae, Streptophyta, Magnoliopsida, Poales, Poaceae. The record is from RefSeq and is a predicted model, not a curated record. The transcript is spliced from 3 exons.